Molecule: ribosomal RNA, 447 nt
Filed under: uncultured bacterium
Lineage: Bacteria
Description: bacterial SSU rRNA
Rfam family: Bacterial small subunit ribosomal RNA
Source: RNAcentral
UCGGGAAUUUUGGGCAAUGGGCGAAAGCCUGACCCAGCAACGCCGCGUGAAGGAUGAAGUAUUUCGGUAUGUAAACUUCGAAAGAAUAGGAAGAAUAAAUGACGGUACUAUUUAUAAGGUCCGGCUAACUACGUGCCAGCAGCCGCGGUAAUACGUAGGGACCAAGCGUUGUUCGGAAUCACUGGGCGUAAAGGGAGUGUAGGCGGUAAGGUGUGUUCGGCGUGAAAGACCUCGGCUUAACCGGGGAAGUGCACUGAAUACUACCUUACUUGAGUGUGAGAGGGGAUGGCGGAAUUGUCAGUGUAGAGGUGAAAUUCGUAGAUACUGGCAGGAACACCGGAGGCGAAGGCGGCCAUCUGGAUCACAACUGACGCUGAUACUCGAAAGCGUGGGUAGCAAACAGGAUUAGAUACCCCUGUAGUCCCUGAGCGGGCUGGCAAGGCGCAU